CCGGGUCAAUUCACACCACUCUCACAAUUUCUAGCGUGGAAAAUCGAGCGGCAACCCAAACGAAAGAGGCAAUUUCCCGGGUCACCAGCCCACCCAAGUAACGGGGCGUCUGCAGCGAGUCGCUCGAUUCUGCCGAUGACGAGCGUUUGCAACGAGCCCACCCAAGCGACGGAGAAAAAGGUAAGAUGAUUCUGCCCUUUUUUUGGACAUGUAAACCGUAAGUUUGCAAAUUUUUGUGUGGUUCUGUGGUAUGUUUUCCACUUUGCUGUAUGCUUGGUAAUGCAUCUUGCACAUUGGGCUGCUGCUGAUGUUAAUGAUAGGGAAUCCAACCACCGAAAUACGCAAUUGCAUAUACUAGCUUCUUCAGGCAAAUGAAGGGUGGGGACUGUCCUUGAAUAAUUUGUUUCGAAUUGUGAAAUCUGCUAGAUUUUUUACUGUAAUUGUGUGUUGGAUCCCUGUGUUGAAUUGGAAAUAUUUGUGUUGGGUUGUGGGAAUACUAAAUUUUGGUCCAGAUUGUCUGUUUCUGUAUUAAAGAUGCAUGGCAAAUGUUAUAUGUAGGCUUCAAUAGUCUUCAAUAUCACAGAUGGAAAAUGUCAUGUUAAAUUGCAUGGUGAAUUAUGCUUAGGUCUCUGUUUCAUAUUCUCGCUAUGUUAUAUAUAUGCUUCGAUAGUCUUCAAUACUAAAAUUAUUAUUCGGUUGCUGCUGAUGUUAAUUUGAUUAUGGAGCUGAUAAUGUUCCCAUUUAAUGCGUUGUAGGAGAAGAACGAGUUGAAGUAUUGGAGGACGAAGUCCUUGUACAAUCCAGUAAUAGGUGUAGUACUGAAAAUGUAGUCACCAUGGAAGAUGACGUAUUAGGAGAAGAUGGUACGAUUGUGCCAGAGGUGGGAGGAGGUGGAACAAUUGUGCCAGAGGUGGGUAUGAAGUUCAAAGAUGAAAACGAGCUAUAUGAAUUUUAUAAGAACUAUGUAUAUAACGUUGGUUUUUCGGUUAGGAGACGGAAUUCGAGGAAGGGGGAGGAUGGAGUAGUGACAUAUGUUACGUUGACGUGUUGUCGUGAGGGCCGUAGAAGUACUAAUACAAGCAGUUCUUUGAAAUCGCAACCAACAAUUCAGACAGAUUGCAAAGUAAAGCUCACUGCUUCGGCAGAUAUUCAUGGAACAUGGAAAAUAUGCACAGUGUGUCUUGAACACAAUCAUAAAACAAGUCCAUCGAAGUCAAGGUUGUAUCGAUAUAAUUGAGAGUUGAAUGCAAAUGUCAAACGGAAGCUUGAAGUGAAUGAUAUGGCUGGAAUUCCUCUGCACAAGAGUUAUAACUCUGCAGUUGUCGAAGCGGGUGGGUAUGAGAAUAUGACCUGCAUGGAAAAAGACUGUCAAAAUUAUGUUGAACAAGUGAGGCGUUUGAGAUUAGGUGAUGGAGAUGCCGCAGCAAUACAAUCCUACUUUUCACAAAUGCAGGCACAAUGCUCGGGGUUUUACUUCUGUAUGGAUUUGGAUGAAGAGUCACGGCUUAAGAAUUUGCUUUGGGUAGAUAAUAGGUGUAGGCUGGCGUAGAAGGAGUUUGGGGAUGUAGUGACCUUCGAUACGACAUAUCUCACUAAUAAGUAUGACAUGCCUUUUGCUCCCUUUGUCGGAGUGAAUCAUCAUGGCCAGUCAACACUUCUUGGAUGUGGUGUGCUAUCAAAUGAAGAUACGGACACAUUUGUGUGGCUCUUCAAGACAUGGUUGCAGUGCAUGCAUGGUCGACAUCCUAAUGGAAUUAUUACGGAUCAAGAUAAGGCUAUGCAAAAUGCAAUUGAGAUAGUCUUUCCCAAUACGAGGCACAGAUGGUGUUUAUGGCACAUCAUGAAGAAAUUACCUGAGAAGUUUGGGUACCACGUUGACAAAGGUUCAAUUUUUUCGUCCAUACAUGCAUUAAUGUACGAGAUGCGCAGCAUGUUGAAGAAUUUGAAGCAGGUUGGGGCAUUAUGCUGGAUACAUAUAAUUUACAAGAGAACGAAUGGUUGUCGGGGUUGUAUGAAAAUAGGGGUCGUUGGGUGCCAUGCUACUUGAAAACAACGUUUUGGGCAAGGAUGUGUCCACAACGCAACGGAGUGAGAGUAUGAAUGCGUUUUUUAAUAUGUAUGUGCAUUCGAAGACGUCGUUGAAGCAAUUUGUUGAGCAAUAUGAACGAGCAUUAAGAAAUAAAGUUGAAAAGGAAUUUCAGGCAGAUUUUAAAUCUUUUUCCCAAAUGGUGCCUUGUGCAACAAAAUAUGAAAUGGAAAAACAAUUUCAAACAGUUUACACAAUCUCGAAGUUUCGGGAAGUUCAGGACGAGAUAACUGGGAAGGUAUAUUGCUAUGUGAUAUCUGCAGUGGAUAACAAAUCGGAGAGGAUGUAUGAGGUUGAGGAGGAUGUCAUUCACAGAGAGACGGUGAGGAAGAAAAAGUUUUAUGUCACAUUUCGUACAAGGGAGUGCGAUGUUAUUUGCAGUUGUCACUUAUUCGAGUUCCGUGGAAUUCUGUGCAGACAUGCCAUAUCAGCGUUGAUGCGUAACGGCAUCACAUCAUUACGGGAUAGGUACAUAUUGAGGAAAUGGAGACGAGAUGUUAGUAGAGCCCAUACGAGAGUCGCUGUGAACUAUGCCGGUCUACUUAGCACUCCUAUCCAGUUACGAUAUGGUACAAUGUGUGACUUGUUCGCUACGUUGGCGAACAUGGCCACCGAUGACGAGCGUCGAUCUGCUGCGAUAAUUGAUUGGAUUCAACAGCAACCUAAAAACAUAGAGUCCACAAAGUCCGCCUGUGAAAGUAAUAGCAUUUCCCAGCCUACUUUACAUUUGGGGUCAGAUUCGAGAGCAUCGUAUUAGACGGGCAGCGCCAACAUACAAGAUCCUAAAUGCACGAAAAGAAAGGGCGCCCCGAGGAAAUUACUUGUUAAAGGCUCAUUGGAGUUGAGCUCUAAGAAAACAAAGGUAAAUUCAGUAGCUAAAUAUUUUCUCAAGAGCUUCUUAAAUAUUUACUUACUCCUUUAAACUAAGAAUUUUUUCAUUGUCUUGUAGGCGAGGUCGAGAGGCCCGAAGAGCAAUCUUGAACACAGUGCGCCGACCACUCAGACCUCGAGGCAUGCACAAUAUUUGACGUCGACGCCGUCCUCGUAUUCACAGGUUACAUGUGUAAGUA
Molecule: long non-coding RNA, 3156 nt
Filed under: Olea europaea subsp. europaea
Lineage: Eukaryota; Viridiplantae; Streptophyta; Magnoliopsida; Lamiales; Oleaceae
Source: RNAcentral